GCCCUCAUGGCUCAGUUGGAUAGAGCGUCUGCCUAGUAAGCAGAAGGUCCCGAGUUCGAAUCUCGGUGAGGGCA
Non-coding RNA from Fimicolochytrium jonesii, 74 nucleotides. The record is from the annotation of a RefSeq genome assembly. Lineage: Eukaryota; Fungi; Chytridiomycota; Chytridiomycetes; Spizellomycetales; Powellomycetaceae.